UAUAUAUAUAUAUACAUAUAUAAAUAUAUAUAGGACCAGGUUAUAAUGAGAACCAAUUGCAAAAUACGAACUAAGAACCAAUCAAGACUGUUAGAUUAGAAACAAGAGGCGCGUGAUCUAACGGCCGAAAUUGAUUCAGACAAAUUAAAUGUAGCACAAAAACUAAGGCGUGAUUUCUCUCUCCUCUCUCUCUCUAGUCCGUCAUUUUCGCUCUCCUCUCUCUCUACUCUUCUUCGCCAUUUUCAACUACUACUAGCUUUGAAAACCGCCAUAACCGUCCAUACAACUGCUCAAUUUCGCUAUAUAAUCACAAUAAUAACUUCUACUGUCUACAUAUUUCAUUUUCGGAACAAAAAAUUUCGAAAAUAGGCAAAAAUUGACGAAUAUUAGGUAUUAUAUUAAACCUUCGAAGUUCAUACUCUUUUUUGCUAUUUUUGUUGCAAUUUUUACUUGUUUUUUUCUUUUUUUUUUUGCUUGAUUAUGUUAAAUUUGAAGUGCCAGAAGUUAAAUCGGAGUACUUCGAAGUUCAAUUUGGGCAUUUUUAAGUUCGAUUUCUUCUAAAUCAGACAGAUUAAAAUGGCCAAAACUACAAAGAAAAAACCUCCAACAUAACCAGAUCCAGCAAAGGAAGUUUCUGCAGCAAAGGAAAUCCUGCAGCAAAGAAGGUUGCUGCAAGUAAAUAACUUACCGUUGGCAAGAAAUCUCCUGCAGCCAAAAAAUCUCCUGCAACCAAAAUAACUCCCGCAACCAAGAAAUUUCCUGCAAAUUCAAAGCAAUCUCCAAUUAAAGGUGCUAAGCUUCAAAGGAUUUCAAAAAAGCAAAUAUUGAUAAAGAGAAGGAUUAAGGAACUACAAGCAUCAAAAGGAACAAAAAAGAGGAUAAAAUCUAAAGUGAAAGAUAGCAAUUAUCAACCAGAAGAAGAUCAGAAUGAGGAUUCUGAUGGAUCAUCAGAAGAAGACAAAAAAAAGGAAAAAUCUCAUUUGAAGAAAAAAAUGAAGCUUGGCAAUUUUGACCUUUAUUUACAUGAAGUUAUUGAUGUUAAUGAUGAUGGUAAUAUGGAAAUCAAGAAAACACACUGCAGGCCCAAUGCAGUUGUUGAUUUGAUCAAGUAUUUCAGUUAGCAGCAAAAAAAAAAAGAUGUCAUAAGUAUUGGUUUUGGAGGGCUUCUUGAACUAAAGUUAAGAAGAAUUUCAACGAGGAUGCUUCCAUGGCUUUGUCACCAUUUCAAUGAAAGCAGCUGCAUGUUCAAGAUUGACAUGCUGAAGGAAUUUUAAGUUAGUUCCUAUGACGUUGAAGAUACAUUCUUGCUUCCACAUGUAACUGAGAACAAGGUCAGUUUUCAGUUAAGGAAGCAACCUCUAUCAAACUUGUUGAUUCAAAAAGAAUGGAAGAAGAAGAUAGGAAUUCCAGAAGAUGAUGAGAUAAUUGUGAAUAAUUUAGAGAACAAAUUAAAGAUUCUGAAGGAAGGAGGGGAGGAUUUUAAAAGAUUCCUUGUGAUGUAUGUUUGCAGUACAUUCUUGACCCCUAUUGCAAAUAGAGUGAUUGAUUACAAGAUAAUCAACUAUGCAGACAAUGUGAAAUAGAUACAUAACCUAGAUUGGUAUGGCUAUGUGAUGAAUAACCUGUGCAAAGCUGUGGGGAGCUUCAAGAACAAUAAAAACAAGGAAUCAAGAUCAGGAUUCAGUGGAUGUGUCUUGAUUCUUCAACUUGUCUACUUUCAUCAUCUGGCAUUUAGAGGGCAACUUGAACCUACAACACUGCCAUUGAUCAAACAUUGGUCAGAUGAGAAACUGGAAGAAACAAUUGCAAAUGAGGCAUAGGCAUCUUAUGGUCAAGGAGAACUCCAAAAAUAUGACUAUCUAGUUUGUAGAAGAAAAAGAAAGUAAGCAUUCUUGCGAUAUGUAAUUGAGAAUGCUUAUAGAAACUUUGCUGAUAGAGAGAGAACAUUGGUGUCAUUAAAUCUACCAGAAGGUGUCAUGACAGAUUGUGAAAUACAUGAUGCUGCAAAAGAUGAAAUUGAAGAAGAAUUGCAUUUGUUGACCAGAGAUUUAAAACUCUUUGCAAUGAUACAUGCUGAGCGUAUAGGUAUCUUAGGAGAGAAGAUGAAACAACAACAAAUGAAUGUGUCUACAUUAAAUUCUUAAUAGGUUUCUGAAACACAAAGGCUGAUGGAAGAUCCUAGAGUACAAAGGGCUAUAGAUGAAAUAGUCACACUUUAUGAUGAUUUAAGAGAUGUAUCUAGUGUGAUUCUGUCAACAUGGGAGGAGCAACACAAAAAUUCUGAAACAGAUCCUAAAACUAAUCAAGAAGAUGCAUUUGAUCCUAAAUCUGUCAAUUUGGAUGAUGAUGAUGAAGAUAUGAAUAUAGAGGAUAUGGAUUAUGGAAAAAAAAAAGGAGGAGGAAGAAAAGAAGGAGGAAGAAGAGGAGGAGAAGGAAGAAGAGGAUAAAAAGAAGGAGGAAGAAAAUGAGAAAAAGAAGGAUGUGGAAGAAAAGGAAGAAAAGCAGGAGAAUGGCAACAAAGAAAUGGACGAGGAGAACAAGGAAGAAGACAAAUAGGAGAACAAGGAAGGAGACAAAAAGGAGGAUGAGAAACAACUGAAUGAACCAGAGAAGGAACAAGAGAAAAAGGAGGAUGAGAAGCAGAAAGUGAACAUUGAAAAGGAAGAAGAGAUGAAUGAAGAGAGAGAAGAAAAGGAUGCUGAUAACCAGACAGUUGAUGCUUAUAUUAGUAGUGUAGUACACUCAUCACUGAGAGUAUACCAAAUCAGCCAACACAAAAAACAAUUGAAAUGAUGCUGAAAAACAAGUUCAGGAAGAAACAAACAUUGAACUAAAGGACAUUCACCAGGAGAUAGUUUCAAAGGUUAAAAUCAAUUUAGAUUGUGGAGAAAAAGAUGUUGAAAUUGAUUUUGUUUCAAAGACAAUGUAAGGAAAUAAAUCAAGAAUGCAUGAAAUGCCAGAGCUUUAUCAAAUAGUGGUUGAUUACUGCUUUGUGAAGUACAACCCAUUCAAACAUGAAGAGAUUUGGAAAUUUGAAAGUCUUCUCAUGAUAACAAGAGAUGACACAACAUCCCUAGCUCCAAUAGCCCCUGCUUAAAUGAUAAAAUCUAAUAUAGUUCAAUGUUGGUCAUUUCUUAUGAAUGAUUCUUGAUUGAAAGAAGAUCCUUCAUGCUUCUUUUUUGGCAUUGACCACAAUAGACCUCUAGAGCUGUCUCUUAGGUCACAAGAUGCUUCCCAACAAACAGAUAAAGCACAGGUGAAGUCUCCUACAGUACACUCACAAGAAUUGAAUCAGGCAUGCUAUGAUUGGAUGUGCCUAUGUGAUGCAAAAGAGAAAAUAUUAACAGCUCAGUUGAUUUUUGUUCCAAUCUGUCUAAGUAACCACUAUAGUUUGAUAGUGGUUAACUUUAUGAAUCAGACAAUUCAAUACUUCGAUAACAGGGAAUAUGAUGACAGACAUAAGCCUUUCUGCAGAAUUCUUGGAUCUAUUGUGGUGGAGGAAAUGUCAAACUUUCUGAAGAGAAUUAAUCAUGAAAAAGCAAUGAAAUACUAGAAUAUGAGUUUGAUGAAGUAAACUUCAAGUGGAAGACACCAAGAUAUACUCUUGAUUGUGGUGUUUUUCCAAUGAUACAUAUGAUGUGUUUUUCUAGAGACACUUUUGAUUCUGACCUUGAUUUAGCAAAUAGGAGAAAGGUGUAUCGUGUAGAAAUAUGUCCUGCUCUUGCUUUGGCAGACAUAAACACCAAAAGAAAACAACUUAUGGGAAAAUUUUCAAGAUUCAGGGUAGUUAGGAAACUAGAGAAGGAGAAAGGGGUGGAAGAUAUGAUAUGUGUUUCUGAUUUCUUGAAGAAACACAAGGAAGUAAUUGAUAACAUGAGUUUGACAUGUCACCAAGUGAUUGACUACUUAGCAAUAAAUGAUGAUGAAAACUUUCCAAACAACAGGUAUGUUUUAUACUUGCUAAAAAACAAAUACUCAUAUUGCAUUAUAUAUAAUUUUUGUUUGCCAUAAGUAAAACUUUAAUUUUAAUUCAAAAUUACAACGAAGUAGUAGGAUGGUUUAUAGAUUCAAUUGAAAUAGUAAGGCAAGAUUGUAACGCUUUGAUCAAUGAAUGGAAAGUUUCAAGUAAUAUGAUCGCUGCUUGCUCAAACCAUCUCAAUAACAUUGAAAUGCAAAAGGACAGGUUUGAAAAUGACUUGGUCAGAUUCUUCUUUGGAUUUGAGUUAAUGGAAAAAAGGAGUAACAAGUCUGCAAAAACUAUGGAUUGAUUGGAACAGUUCACAAUCAUUGGACUUGGAUGCAGCUCAAUGUGUAUAUAUACCUUUGAAGAUGGAAGAUAAUUAUUUUCUUGCUGUGAUAAACUUCAAAGAUGAAACAAUUGAUCAUCUAGACAGCACUUUGUACGAGUCCAAUGAAGAAUAUGAGUCUGUACAUAGUUUUAUCUUAGAAACGGUGAUACAAGUACAUAAAUUGUUUAAAAAAAGAAAGCAUCCACAAGUAAAUGAUAUGCUAUCUUACAAGCUGAGUAUUCAUUGCAUUCCAAAAAGAAAAAGAAGAUAAUUUCUCAGCAAGCUAUCUACUGGUGCAUAUGAAGGUUUAUGAUGGUGCAAAUGGGAUAGGAUUAGGAACAAUAAAAGAGGAAUUUCCAAGACUGAAUCACCAUCACAUAAGAACAGUGCUUGACCUACUUCUCAAUGAUAAGAAUCAAAUGAAACAAACACUGCUUACAAAUGUUGAGAAUUGGGAAGAGAAGAAAGCAUCUGAACAAUUGUAAAUGAUAUCAGUAGAUUUGAAUACAUUAUAGAUAUUAGAAUUUAUCAUAGAUAUUAGAAUAUAUCAGUAUUUUUAAGUAGUUUGUUUGUAUGAAGAAUACAUAUUAUACCCAUAAGUAUUACUAGUAUUGUUCUGUGACAAAAAUGUUGGUAGAUGUAAAAGUAGAAGAAAUCAAUCACAAAGUAAAUGAAAAUAGUGUUAAAGUAAAUAACACUAUGUUUAAAGUAAAGAUUUUUUUUAAAAACCUUUCUAAAUUAUGGUGUUCGAUUUUAAAGUAAACAAAAAUAUUGUUAAACUAAUAAAAAAUGGAUCUAAAGUAGAGGUGGAGAUAGGAAAAAGUAUUAAAGUCAAUACAAGAAAAAAAAUUCAAGUAAAAAACAUGUUAUUCGAUUAUAAGUGAAUAAAAAUAGUGUUAAAGUAAAUAAAACUAUAUUUAAAGUAAAAGAAAAAGAUUUUUUCUUUUUAAAAAAAGCUUUCUAAAAUAUGGUUUUCAAUUUUAAAGGAAAGAAAAAUAUUGUUAAAGUAAUAGAAAAUGGAUCUAAAGUAGAGGUGGAAACGGGAAAAAGUAUUCAAGUCAAAAAAAAAAAAAUCAACUUAAAAACAUGUUAUUCGAUUAUAAGUAAAGGGAAUUAAUUCGAUUAUAAGGCCGGAGCAGAGCGGAUGUUUGCCUUUCAAUCUCCAUCCCCUUCCCCAC
Chenopodium quinoa (quinoa) is the source of this 5467-nucleotide long non-coding RNA. RefSeq lists it as uncharacterized. Lineage: Eukaryota; Viridiplantae; Streptophyta; Magnoliopsida; Caryophyllales; Amaranthaceae. The record is from RefSeq and is a predicted model, not a curated record. The transcript has 14 exons.